UGUUUAUAUAAUUUAUAUUAGAAUAUUGUGUUGAAGUUACAAAAGAGACAUAUUUGUCUAUAAGCAA
Molecule: transfer RNA, 67 nt
Filed under: Neilupotamon papilionaceum
Lineage: Eukaryota; Metazoa; Arthropoda; Malacostraca; Decapoda; Potamidae
Description: tRNA-Phe
Source: RNAcentral